This 85-nucleotide transfer RNA is filed under the name Felis catus (domestic cat). It matches the Rfam family "tRNA". Rfam says of the family: Transfer RNA (tRNA) molecules are approximately 80 nucleotides in length. Their secondary structure includes four short double-helical elements and three loops (D, anti-codon, and T loops). Lineage: Eukaryota; Metazoa; Chordata; Mammalia; Carnivora; Felidae. The record is from Rfam by way of RNAcentral.
GCCUGGGUGGCUCAGUCGGUUGAGCAUCUGACUUCAGCUCAGGUCACGGUCUCGCGGUCCGUGAGUUUGAGCCCCGCGUCGGGCU